GUCUCUGUGGCGCAAUCGGUUAGCGCGUUAGGCUGUUAACUGAAAGGUUGGUGGUUCAAGCCCACCCAGGGACA
Molecule: non-coding RNA, 74 nt
Organism: Danio rerio (zebrafish)
Lineage: Eukaryota; Metazoa; Chordata; Actinopteri; Cypriniformes; Danionidae
Source: Rfam